AAGCGAGAAAUUGUGAGGGCGGACGUAAGUCGAUGCUAUACACCCCAGUGCUUAACUGUUACUUAUUUCAUCGAUCCCGGAAGAUGAAAGGGACAUCAACACACCAACACAUGUCGUCAAGUAGUGAUGGAGGAUACAUACAGACGCAGUAACAAACAGAAAUAUAUGCUGAAAUAUACCACGCUUUGGGUAAAGUAAAAUACAAGAAGAUCAGUUCAUUAUGAUUUUAUUCAACAUAUUCCUCUUUCAGAUUCACGUACUUAUUGCAGCGGUCCUUCAGAUUUUCUAAGGCCUUCACAGGAACGCGGAAGUAUGGGCCUCAAACCAGACCUUUCCGGCAUCCUUACAGUCAGGAACUUUUCAGUAACACCUUCCUUGCAGUUAGCAUGUCAAGACGUAUUCUUGAAGAUAAACCGCUGAUUAAUGAAACCAUAGAAAAAUCAGACAAAAAUAUAUAUUAUGUUUUCGACAGAUAUUUCUAGAAGAUAUUUCAUAAAAUUUGAU
Octopus bimaculoides (California two-spot octopus) is the source of this 504-nucleotide long non-coding RNA. NCBI's taxonomy places the organism in Eukaryota, Metazoa, Mollusca, Cephalopoda, Octopoda, Octopodidae. The record is from RefSeq and is a predicted model, not a curated record.